GAUCAGCCAUGCCGCGUGUGUGAAGAAGGCCUUUUGGUUGUAAAGCACUUUAAGCGAGGAGGAGGAGCUCUUGGUUAAUACCCAAGAUGCUUGGACGUUACUCGCAGAAUAAGCACCGGCUAACUCUGUGCCAGCAGCCGCGGUAAUACAGAGGGUGCAAGCGUUAAUCGGAUUUACUGGGCGUAAAGCGCGCGUAGGUGGCCAAUUAAGUCAAAUGUGAAAUCCCCGAGCUUAACUUGGGAAUUGCAUUCGAUACUGGUUGGCUAGAGUAUGGGAGAGGAUGGUAGAAUUCCAGGUGUAGCGGUGAAAUGCGUAGAGAUCUGGAGGAAUACCGAUGGCGAAGGCAGCCAUCUGGCCUAAUACUGACACUGAGGUGCGAAAGCAUGGGGAGCAAACAGGAUUAGAUACCCUGGUAGUCCAUGCCGUAAACGAUGUCUACUAGCCGUUGGGGCCUUUGAGGCUUUAGUGGCGCAGCUAACGCGAUAAGUAGACCGCCUGGGGAGUACGGUCGCAAGACUAAAACUCAAAG
RNAcentral lists this ribosomal RNA (529 nucleotides) under Acinetobacter sp. Its description in RNAcentral is "bacterial SSU rRNA". It matches the Rfam family "Bacterial small subunit ribosomal RNA", at positions 385 to 906 of the family's 1533-position model. The record is from RNAcentral. Lineage: Bacteria; Pseudomonadati; Pseudomonadota; Gammaproteobacteria; Moraxellales; Moraxellaceae.